CAUAUCCCGAGAUUUUGCCAUCUAUAUUAUGUCUUCCACACACAAAGAUAUAACAACAAUUCAUUAUACAAAUUCCAUUUGGAGUAUGAGAAGGAGCAAAAAGCAAGCAAAAAUGUGUUUGUACCUAAGACCUAUUCAGCCUGCAGUGAGAAACGACAAGGAGCUAAGCAAGCGUCUUGGAUGACCUAAUUGGCUAAUGGAUGACUGGAUACUCAUCCCGAAGAAAAUCAGUUUUUAAAAAUAG
Arabidopsis thaliana (thale cress) is the source of this 244-nucleotide RNA transcript. RefSeq lists it as uncharacterized. The transcript has 2 exons. NCBI's taxonomy places the organism in Eukaryota, Viridiplantae, Streptophyta, Magnoliopsida, Brassicales, Brassicaceae. The record is from RefSeq.